Molecule: small RNA, 16 nt
Filed under: Arabidopsis thaliana (thale cress)
Lineage: Eukaryota; Viridiplantae; Streptophyta; Magnoliopsida; Brassicales; Brassicaceae
Description: ATSL134300
Source: RNAcentral
ACGAUCAACAAAAAAA